GUGAGAGGCCUGGGUCCCUUCUUCCUGGCAUCAGCUGGGAGGCCUGGGUCCCUUCUUCCUGGCAUCAGCUGAGAGGCCUGGGUCCCUUCUUCCUGGCAUCAGCUGAGAGGCCUGGGUCCCUUCUUCCUGGCAUCAGCUGAGAGGCCUGGGUCCCUUCUUCCUGGCAUCAGCUGAGAGGCCUGGGUCCCUUCUUCCUGGCAUCAGCUGAGAGGCCUGGGUCCCUUCUUCCUGGCAUCAGCUGAGAGGCCUGGGUCCCUUCUUCCUGGCUCCAGGUAGGAGAACUGGGUCACUUCUUCCUAGCCCCAAGAGAGAGUCUUGGGUCUUCUGGUCACUUUUUCCUGGCUCCUCGGAUCCUUUGCUCCUGGCUUCUCUGGUUCUUUGCUCCUAGCUCCAGGUGGGAGACCUGGGUCACUUCUUCCUGGCCUCAGGUGGGAGUCUUGGGUCUUCUGGUCACUUUUUCCUGGCUCUUCAGAUCCUUUCCUGCUGGCAUCAGCUGGGGGGCCCGGGUCCCUUCUUCCUGGCUCCGACACGCCGGGGUCCCUUCUUCCUGGCUCCGACACGCCGGGGUCCCUUCUUCCUGGCUCCGACACGCCGGGGUCCCUUCUUCCUGGCUCCGACACGCCGGGGUCCCUUCUUCCUGGCUCCGACACGCCGGGGUCCCUUCUUCCUGGCUCCGACACGCCGGGGUCCCUUCUUCCUGGCUCCGACACGCCGGGGUCCCUUCUUCCUGGCUCCGACACGCCGGGGUCCCUUCUUCCUGGCUCCGACACGCCGGGGUCCCUUCUUCCUGGCUCUAGGUGGGAGUCUUGGGUCUUUGGGUCCCUUCCUCCUGGCUCCAGGUGGGAGUCUUGGGUCUUUGGGUCCCUUUCUCCCGGCAUCAGGUGAGAGGCCCGGGUCAUUUUCUGGCAUCAGGCGAGAGGCCUGGGUCACUUCUUCCUGGCUCCAAGUGGGUGUCUUGGGUCUUUGGGUCCUUUCUUCCUGGCUCCAAGUGGGAGUCUUGGGUCUUUGGGUCCCUUUCUCCUGGCAUCAGGUGAGAGGCCUGGGUUACUUCUUCCUGUCCCCAAGUGGGAGUCUUGCGUCUUCUGGUCACUUUUUCCUGGCUCCUCAGGUCCUUUCUUCCUGGCAUAAGCUGGGAAGGCCUGGGUCCCCUCUUCCUGGCAACAGCUGGGAUGGCCUGGGUCCCCUCUUCCUGGCAACAGCUGGGAUGGCCUGGGUCCCCUCUUCCUGCCAUCAGCUGGGAUGGCCUGGGUCCCCUCUUCCUGCCAUCAGCUGGGAUGGCCUGGGUCCCCUCUUCCUGCCAUCAGCUGGGAUGGCCUGGGUCCCCUCUUCCUGCCAUCAGCUGGGAUGGCCUGGGUCCCCUCUUCCUGCCAUCAGCUGGGAUGGCCUGGGUCCCCUCUUCCUGCCAUCAGCUGGGAUGGCCUGGGUCCCCUCUUCCUGCCAUCAGCUGGGAUGGCCUGGGUCCCCUCUUCCUGCCAUCAGCUGGGAUGGCCUGGGUCCCCUCUUCCUGCCAUCAGCUGGGAUGGCCUGGGUCCCCUCUUCCUGCCAUCAGCUGGGAUGGCCUGGGUCCCCUCUUCCUGCCAUCAGCGGGGAAGGCCUGGGUCGCCUCUUCCUGGCAUCAGCGGGGAAGGCCUGGGUCGCUUCUUCCUGGCUCCGAGAUGCCUGGGUUGCUUCUUCCUGGCUCCGAGAUGCCUGGGUCGCUUCUUCCUGGCUCCGAGAUGCCUGGGUCGCUUCUUCCUGGCUCCAGGUGUGAGUCUUGGGCCUUUGGGUCCCUUCCUCCUGGCAUCAGGUGAGAGGCCUGGGUCACUUCUUGGCUCCAGGUGAGAGGCCUGGGUCACUUCUUGGCUCCAGGUGAGAGGCCUGGGUCACUUCUUGGCUCCAGGUGAGAGGCCUGGGUCACUUCUUGGCUCCAGGUGAGAGGCCUGGGUCACUUCUUGGCUCCAGGUGAGAGGCCUGGGUCACUUCCUGGCUCCAGGUGGGAGAACUGGCUCCUCGGGUCCUUUGCUCCUGACUCCUCGGGUCCUUUGCUCCUGACUCCUCGGGUCCUUUGCUCCUGACUCCUCGGGUCCUUUGCUCCUGACUCCUCGGGUCCUUUGCUCCUGACUCCUCGGGUCCUUUGCUCCUGACUCCUCGGGUCCUUUGCUCCUGGCAUCAGCUGGGAGGCCUGGGUCCCUUCUUCCUGGCAUCAGCUGGGAGGCCUGGGUCCCUUCUUCCUGGCAUCAGCUGGGAGGCCUGGGUCCCUUCUUCCUGGCAUCAGCUGGGAGGCCUGGGUCCCUUCUUCCUGGCAUCAGCUGGGAGGCCUGGGUCCCUUCUUCCUGGCAUCAGCUGGGAGGCCUGGGUCCCUUCUUCCUGGCAUCAGCUGGGAGGCCUGGGUCCCUUCUUCCUGGCAUCAGCUGGGAGGCCUGGGUCCCUUCUUCCUGGCAUCAGCUGGGAGGCCUGGGUCCCUUCUUCCUGGCAUCAGCUGGGAGAACUAGGUCCUUGGGUCCUUUCCUCCUGGCUCCAGGUAGGCGGCCUGGGUCACUCUUCCUCUCUCCAGUUGGGAGUCUUGGAUCUUCUGGUCCCUUCCUCCUGGCUCCAAUUGGGAGUCUUGGAUUUUUUGGUCCCUUCCUCCUGGCUCCCGGGGGGAGUCUUAGAUCUUCCGGUCCCUUCUUCCCGCCUCCAGUUGGGAGUCUUGGGUCUUCUGGUCCCUUUUUCCUGGCUCCAGGUGGGAGGCCUGUGUUCCUUCUUCAUGGCUCCAGGUGGGAGGCCUGUGU
Monodelphis domestica (gray short-tailed opossum) is the source of this 2750-nucleotide long non-coding RNA. Lineage: Eukaryota; Metazoa; Chordata; Mammalia; Didelphimorphia; Didelphidae. The record is from Ensembl.